Long non-coding RNA from Papaver somniferum (opium poppy), 727 nucleotides. RefSeq lists it as uncharacterized. The record is from RefSeq and is a predicted model, not a curated record. The transcript has 2 exons. Lineage: Eukaryota; Viridiplantae; Streptophyta; Magnoliopsida; Ranunculales; Papaveraceae.
CCGAAUGAGUUUUUAAUCCACUCUUGAUUUUCCAUCUCAUGCCAACUGAAAAUUUUGGAGAAGGCGAUUCAAGGAUUUUAUGUAUCAGACGUGGCCGAGGAGACAUGCACAACUCAUUAUGUAAUUGUGAUUCUUUGCACAUGUUUAUCAAUUUAACGGGAAAAUUCAUAGAAACAAAAAUGGUGGUUGCGAUUCUUUCACUAAACACCUCUAUAUCAUCGAUUUUGUGCUUUGAUUUGUUUCUCAUCUGGACGGAGAAUAUAAUGUAAACAAUGAGACAAUUGAAGCUAAUGGUUUUAAAAAAAUAUAUUUAAUUUUUAUCUAUGAUCCUAAUUAUGAGGGAAUCAACUCAAAGUAUAUUCAUGAUGAAAAGAGGUUACAACUCUUACUUCCGUCAGAUGUCUUUGGCUGAGAUGAGACUGGGAUUGUCAGAUGUAACAUUUCUCUCCCAAAAUGUUAUCUAUCCGUUCAAGCUCAAAAACUCAUUCUGUUUUUUAUUAUGGAUAUGUAAUCCGAUUGUGGAGACAAAAAUCCUACAGGAAAAUGCGAACAUAAAUCGGAUUAAUGUUACUCAACGUGAACCCGAUUGUUGUUUUUGGGAAUUUUUAUCUAAAAUCAUCAAAUCCUUAAUUGGUUGAUAAACUUAGAUAUAAAAAACCGAUUGUUCACAAUCGAUUUUCUCUACUAUUACACAUUUAUCAAUUCUUGAUGUCUGUACAAACUCAAA